This 1020-nucleotide ribosomal RNA is filed under the name Triticum aestivum (bread wheat). RNAcentral's name for it is "partial small subunit ribosomal RNA". The record is from RNAcentral. Lineage: Eukaryota; Viridiplantae; Streptophyta; Magnoliopsida; Poales; Poaceae.
AUGUUUGGGGACCGAGUGAAAUUCUGGGUUACAAUGAAUCAGCCUAACUUAUUGGCAAAAUUUGCUUACAUGAAUGGAUGGUUCCCUCCUGGUCAUUGUUCUAAGCCAUAUGGGAAUUGUGCCUUUGGAAACUCUUCAAUAGAGCCAUACAUAGUAGGUCACAAUAUGAUACUUUCACAUGCAAACGCUGCGAGUAUUUACAGAAAUAACUAUCAGGAGACACAAGGUGGAUAUAUUGGAAUUGCUGUCGCCGCAAGAUGGUAUGAACCAUUGCGAAAUACCACAGUCGACCAACUAGCAGUUGAACGGGCUAUAUCUUUCAAUGUUCCAUGGUUUCUGGACCCUAUAAUUCUUGGUGAUUAUCCUGCAGAGAUGCGCAAAAUCUUGGGUCCAACCCUACCUGAGUUCACAUUAAAGCAGAAGAAGAAACUACAUGCAACCAAACUGGAUUUUAUUGGACUAAAUCAUUAUUCGACAUGGUAUUUGAAGGACUGCAUCUUUUCAUCAUGUGAAAUGGAUCCUAUGGAUGGGGACGCGCGAGUGUUGAGUUUAGUAGAACGAGAUGGGGUGCCUAUCGGUAAAGAGACAGGAGCACCAUUCUUCUAUGAUGUUCCACAUGGGAUGGAAAAAGUGGUCAUGUAUUACAGAAAAAGAUACAACAACACCGCAACAUAUAUAACAGAAAAUGGUUAUGCUCAAGCAAGCAAUAGCAGCAUGACUGCUAAGGAUUUUACUGGUGACGCAGACAGAAUUAAUUACAUCAGUGGCUACCUCACUUAUUUAGCCUCCGCAAUAAGGAAAGGAGCUGACGUACGUGGUUACUUUGUGUGGUCUCUCCUCGACGACUUCGAGUGGACUUCGGGAUACAAGGACAGAUUCGGGCUCUACCAUGUCGACUUUAAGACGCAGAAGAGGACGCCGAAACUAUCAGCUGAAUGGUUCAGGGAGUUCCUCAAAGGUUCGCUUCUGACAAGAGAACUCCAAAAUGGAUCCCAGCUGCAGCCGUACUAUACGUCCUGA